Molecule: ribosomal RNA, 397 nt
Filed under: uncultured bacterium
Lineage: Bacteria
Description: partial 16S ribosomal RNA
Rfam family: Bacterial small subunit ribosomal RNA
Source: RNAcentral
AUACGGAGGAUGCAAGCGUUAUCCGGAUUUAUUGGGUUUAAAGGGUGCGUAGGCGGAUGAUUAAGCGUGAGGUGAAAUGCCACUGCUCAACAGUGGAACUGCCUCGCGAACUGGUUGUCUUGAAUGCUCCUGCCGUGGGAGGAAUGUGUGGUGUAGCGGUGAAAUGCAUAGAGAUCACACAGAACACCGAUUGCGAAGGCAUCUCACGAAGGGGUGAUUGACGCUGAGGCACGAAAGCGUGGGGAUCAAACAGGAUUAGAUACCCUGGUAGUCCACACUGUAAACGAUGAAUGCUAGGUGUAAGAGGUAUCGACCCCUUUUGUGCCGGAGUCAACACAAUAAGCAUUCCGCCUGGGGAGUACGGCCGCAAGGUUGAAACUCAAAGGAAUUGACGGGG